AGAGACGCUAGGCCGGCACUGCCUAGGUGGGCCGGGCGGUGCGAGGGUCGCCUUUCAGCCUUUACCUCUACCCACUGAAAUGGAGUAGGUCGGUGAGCGCCGAUCUGCUGGAGAAUCUCAUUAUCCCAUCGGCGCUCUGCCUGCUCCUGGCCUCCAAGCCUCUGAAGCCCCUCGGGUUUCAGCUGCCGGCUACCCUCGAGCCCGUGGUGCCCACGAGAGAGGCGACUUUACGUCAGCGGCCCUGGGCUGAGAUUUGAGAACGCGACCAAGUGGAGAAUGUUGGAGCCAGAUUUUAAAAUCCUUGUCUUCCUUCUGCGUGCUACUUGAUCUAAAUGAGAUACGGCAAAGUCACAGAACCUGUUUUUAUGUUUUUGCCUGAUUCAUACGGGCUUCUCCGGUGAAGAUGGGCCUGAAGUAACGCUUGGGUUGCUUCUGACGUUAUAACUCAUCCUGUAGCUGCAGCAACCGUGGUCCUUGCAACCUCAUAAAAAUGUUGCCAGCAUUGUUUCGAUAGUGCUGCUUAAUUCUUGGAAGGUUCUUCGGACUUCACACAUUCCAGCAGUAGCUCUCUCAGCUCCUGUCCUGCACAGCUUUGAAGUGCUGGUGAUGUCAUUGAACUCUUAAGUGCAAGAUGAAACAAGUCUUUCUGGGGUUCUAAGUAGCGUCUUCAAAGUGUCUUCUGUAAAGACUUCUUCAGACUGUCAAUAGGAAGACUGAUAAACUCAGUACAGACGGGGUUUCACUGUUUUAGCCAGGAUGGUCUCGAUCUCCUGACCUCGUGAUCUGCCCACCUCGGCCUCCCAAGGUGCUGGGAUUACAGGCGUGAGCCACCGCGUCCGGCCCAGGUUGCUUUUAAUUUUAGAAGUUUAAAUAUGCAUGGUUUAUAGGAACCCUGCAACAAAUUUUGAAAGUCUGGACUGUUUGUUCAUCAAAGCCUGAGGUUUCCUGAGAUCUUCGCAUCUUUGAAUCUUCGGUAUAGUCAACAGGCCUGAAACACAGAAGACGUCAAAUGCUCGAUGAAUCGAAUUGGGAUAAGAAAUAAUUUACUAUAAAUAACGAUAAAAGAAAUGACAAAAGUGACAUUUAUUAGCAUUAUUAAAAGUUGCAGUUCUGGGUUUUCGUGAUCAUAAAUUGCCAGCCAGCCAAAGGCAAGCAUCAACUUCACUCAUAAAAUUUUCUUCAAAGAAGCUUAUCCCCAAACAACAUUUCUGUCGGAUUACCUCCAGCAUAAUUACAGUCCUUGUCUCCUUCCUAUAGUCAGGAACUUUUCUCCCUUGUUGGACUUUGGGCAGAAAGUGAGGCCCUUUAUGAUCACAGCACUCUUCCCAGGAAACCUUUUUAAUCUAGGCCCAUUACAGCACAAGGAAGCAUUUAUAUUUCUUCUGGUCUCAGAGCCACAUGUUCUGCCGACCUUGCCUGAGUAACGUCUUCCCAGAAGCAAAUCUUCUGGCUGCUCUAUGCCACAGCUUACUCUCUGUAAAAUGGAGAUAACAGUGCUGUUCUAACCUACUGAUGUAUAUGUAAAUUGGAUGUUUACCUUGGCAGGGAACUGAAGGUAUGAAUGGGGCAGAAGAAGCAAGUUGUCAUUGUCCCUUCCAUGUGGGCUCUUUCGUAGCUCGUUUCCUUUUGCUUCUCAUCCUCUGUGGCUGACAUUUUGUGGUCUCACUUAUUUCUCCAAUGGAAAUGACCCACAGAAUAUUCUAUGGUUUCUUGUUUCUAAGAAACAAGAUGUUGGCCCCCAGUAGAAAGAAGCCCUCGUUGGGUAACUUGGGUGGAGUUGUAGGUGUGAAUGAAUGUAAGAUGAGAUCGUAAAUGUAUCUGUGCCCACACAGGCUGAUAUGUGACCUUCAGUAAGUCUGGACCUCAGUUUAUUUAUCCAUGAAACGGCAGGGUCAGAACAGGUGACCUCUAAGGAAUUCUGCUAUGGUCUAUAAAUUAAAUAAAACUGAUUGCAUUGAUGGAAAAGAGAUUCAAUUAGGUUUGUCCACUUCUCUGAAAUCAAAAGCAGCUGAAACCAAACUUUUCUAAAGAGGAAAAAAUAUAUGCUGCCCAUCUUUCUGGAUUCUCUAAAAAACAUUUUAAUAUUCCCCACUUCCCCCAAACUAUGCAUGGGAUUAACUUUACCAUGUUCUGUGUCUGUGUAUCCAACCUGUUAACUUUUCUUUUUAAGGCCAAAUUUGCGUGACAAAAGGUAAAAUGUGUAUUACCCCUCCAUGCAAGGCUCGUAGAAGAGAGAAUAAUGGCUGAAUGGCCCAUUCUGGAUCCUCUCAAAUGACAUUAUAACAGAAGUCCUAACUAAAUGCCCUAACGUGUAAAUUUCCUGUGACAUAUCGCUUGAGUCUCUGCUUUUGUCACAUUUUUCAUUAGUCAACACUUUUCAAGUACAGAUCUUCAACCAAUUUGGAUCUGCCUAUCUACUUUUUUUUUUUUUUUUUGAGACGGAGUUUCACUCUUUCACCAGGCUGGAGUGCAGUGGCAUGAUCUCAGCUCACCGCAAUGUCUGCCUCCCAGGCUCAAGUGACUCUUCUGACUCAGCCUCCAGAGUAGCUGGGACUACAGGCAUGUGCCACCACAUCUGGCUAAUUUUUUGUAUUUUUAGUAGAGACGGGGUUUCACCAUGUUAGCCAGGAAGGUGUCGAUCUCCUGACCUUGUGAUCUGCCUGCCUCAGCCUCCCAAAGUGUUGGGAUUAUGAGCGUGAGCCACCGCACCCGGCCCUAUAUUCUAUUCUUUAGUUAACACAAGAGGACUUUGUUCUGCACCUGCUACUGUAUACAUCAGAUGCUGUGUCCAAACAUCUCACAUGUAUUAUCUCUGCUCAAAGUCCAGAGUAGGAAGGGUCAUUUCUCAAUAUUACCUCAAAAAUACCAUGAAUGCUUCAUCAAUAUAUCUUUUCUCUCAGAGGCAUUCAAUUCUAGGCUUGAUUUUUAAUUUUGGAGUGAAAAGCCUUAUUUCAUGGUAAAGAGAUGACUGCUAUCUGAAGAGAAUCGGGAGUUUGGGAAGGGCUAAGGGACCCUUUCUAAUGUGCUGGGUAUUAAGCAGCAUAGAUUCUUUCCUUUGCCAAAGGCCAAACAGUAUCCAACAGAGAAAAGUGUUGCCUGGCACCAUACAAUCCCAUUAAAAACAAUAAAUAUAAACACAUCCAACUAAUAUCUGAAUAGUAUUCUCAAAUUUGAGUCCAAAGGACAGCAUGGUGGAUUUUCAUAACAAAUUGCUGAUUUGAGAAUUUCCUAGGGAAUCCAUUGUGUAUCUUAAGUUGAUGGUUCGACCUGUGGACGGAACAGCCAGGCUGGCUGGCUUACAAAUUGCAGCAUUAUUUUUCCUAAAUCCCCAACAUUCAUGAUUUCAUUUCAGUAAAACAGUAAUUUAAACAAUGACUAAGUGUGUAAGAAAAAAUAUAUUGAAGGCUAUGGAACAAUUUAUUAAUAAUGGUAGGACAUUUUCUGCAGUACUUCUAAUGUAUCACUUAGGACUGUAUUGAUUCAGCAUCAGAGUUCUUGGAAACAAGCCUCUUACCAAUAUCUAAGAUCCUGGUGUUGUAAUUGAACUAGAAAAUGUAAGAUUUCCACU
Homo sapiens (human) is the source of this 3568-nucleotide long non-coding RNA. Ensembl annotates it as hepatocellular carcinoma up-regulated long non-coding RNA. Its record names the gene HULC. The record is from Ensembl. NCBI's taxonomy places the organism in Eukaryota, Metazoa, Chordata, Mammalia, Primates, Hominidae.